GACACUUUGGCCGAGUGGUUAAGGCGACAGACUUGAAUUUUAUCUCCUCAGAUAUGAUUUUCGACAUCUGUUUCAUUCGUGAGCGCAGGUUCGAACCCUGCAGGUGUCG
Non-coding RNA from Letharia columbiana, 109 nucleotides. Lineage: Eukaryota; Fungi; Ascomycota; Lecanoromycetes; Lecanorales; Parmeliaceae. The record is from the annotation of a RefSeq genome assembly.